UACGGAGGAUCCGAGCGUUAUCCGGAUUUAUUGGGUUUAAAGGGUGCGCAGGCGGGAGAUUAAGUCGGCGGUGAAAUUUUGCAGCUCAACUGUAAAAGUGCCUUCGAAACUGGUUUCCUUGAGUGUAGAUGAAGUAGGCGGAAUUUGUGGUGUAGCGGUGAAAUGCAUAGAUAUCACGAGGAACUCCGAUUGCGCAGGCAGCUUACUAAACUACUACUGACGCUCAGGCACGAAGGCGUGGGGAUCAAACAGGAUUAGAUACCCCUGUAGU
RNAcentral lists this ribosomal RNA (271 nucleotides) under uncultured prokaryote. RNAcentral describes it as "partial 16S ribosomal RNA". It matches the Rfam family "Bacterial small subunit ribosomal RNA", at positions 524 to 794 of the family's 1533-position model. The record is from RNAcentral.